AUUGAACGCUGGCGGAAUGCUUUACACAUGCAAGUCGAACGGCAGCACGGGGGCAACCCUGGUGGCGAGUGGCGAACGGGUGAGUAAUACAUCGGAACGUGCCCAAUCGUGGGGGAUAACGUAGCGAAAGCUACGCUAAUACCGCAUACGAUCUACGGAUGAAAGCGGGGGAUCGCAAGACCUCGCGCGAAUGGAGCGGCCGAUGGCAGAUUAGGUAGUUGGUGGGGUAAAGGCUCACCAAGCCGACGAUCUGUAGCUGGUCUGAGAGGACGACCAGCCACACUGGGACUGAGACACGGCCCAGACUCCUACGGGAGGCAGCAGUGGGGAAUUUUGGACAAUGGGCGCAAGCCUGAUCCAGCCAUUCCGCGUGCAGGAUGAAGGCCUUCGGGUUGUAACUGCUUUUGUACGGUAACGAAACGGCCCUUCUAUACAGAGGCGUAAUGACGGUACCGUAACGAAUAAG
This 466-nucleotide ribosomal RNA is filed under the name uncultured bacterium. RNAcentral's name for it is "bacterial SSU rRNA". It matches the Rfam family "Bacterial small subunit ribosomal RNA", at positions 30 to 490 of the family's 1533-position model. The record is from RNAcentral.